CCUACGGGGGGCAGCAGUGAGGAAUAUUGGUCAAUGGACGAGAGUCUGAACCAGCCAAGUAGCGUGAAGGAUGACUGCCCUAUGGGUUGUAAACUUCUUUUAUAUGGGAAUAAAACGUUCCACGUGUGGGAUUUUGUAUGUACCAUAUGAAUAAGGAUAGGCUAACUCCGUGCCAGCAGCCGCGGUAAUACGGAGGAUCCGAGCGUUAUCCGGAUUUAUUGGGUUUAAAGGGAGCGUAGGUGGAUUGUUAAGUCAGUUGUGAAAGUUUGCGGCUCAACCGUAAAAUUGCAGUUGAAACUGGCAGUCUUGAGUACAGUAGAGGUGGGCGGAAUUCGUGGUGUAGCGGUGAAAUGCUUAGAUAUCACGAAGAACUCCGAUUGCGAAGGCAGUUCACUGGACUGCAACUGACACUGAGGCUCGAAAGUGUGGGUAUCAAACAGGAUUAGAUACCCUAGUAGUC
Molecule: ribosomal RNA, 460 nt
Filed under: uncultured bacterium
Lineage: Bacteria
Description: partial 16S ribosomal RNA
Rfam family: Bacterial small subunit ribosomal RNA
Source: RNAcentral